This is a long non-coding RNA of Drosophila eugracilis, 342 nucleotides long. RefSeq lists it as uncharacterized. The record is from RefSeq and is a predicted model, not a curated record. The transcript has 3 exons. Lineage: Eukaryota; Metazoa; Arthropoda; Insecta; Diptera; Drosophilidae.
CACAGUCACUGACUGGCUAGCAACUGCAACUGCCACCGACUGCGGAGUGCCGACUGCGACCCAGUCCCCGCUGGAGUCUAAAAUUAAAUAUUGCAGCACCCGAUGGGAGAAAGGUAGCAGUUGGAUUUCGGCAGUCUGGAAUUAUAGUUUACUGCACAGAAAGAAAAUACCUACUUAUAGAUGUUAUCAAAUUGUAUCAAUAAUUCUUUACUUGAAGUUUACCUUUGAAUAUGGAGAACUCUUAAAAUACGAGUAGAUGAAAGCCGUGUUAACGUCUAUAUAAAUCUUGCUCUAUGGGAUUUCCUUAUGUCCAAAUACUCAUCAAACCCUAAUCUAAGUUAA